UCUUCCCCAGUCAUCUUUUGAGUGCCUUUCAAUCUGGGGGUGCUCAUCCUCCAGCACUAUAUCAGACAAUGUUCCGCUGCUAUUCAUAAGGUUUUCACUGGCUAAUGCUUUUCAGAAGUAGACUGCUGGGUCCUUCUUCCUAGUCUGUCUUAGUCUGGAAGCUCAGCUGAAACCUGUCCUCCAUGGGAGACCCUGCUGGUAUCUGAAUACUGGUGGCAUAGCUUCCAGCACCACAGCAACAUGCAAGCCCCCACAGUACGACAAACUGACAGACAUGUGGGGGUAAUCCUAGUUAGUGUGUGUAUAUUCAUAUUUUAUGUGAUUGCGAUGUGCUAUCCUAGAUGUGUGGGGGUCAUCACGUAAUAUGCAGUAUUACCUGUCUGAAAUCUGAAACAUUCUGAGUUCAGGAACCUGUCUGCCCCAAGGGUUUGGUAGUGAGAGUAUGGCCCUGCAUUGUCCUUAUGGAGAAACCACCGUUUAGCUCUGUUUUCAAAUCCUAUGAUCUAUUUGAAUGUGUUUAAUGAAACUAACUUAGCAUGGAUUGAGAUUUUGAUAAUGACAAGAUUCUUUAUGAAUGUUUUAGGAACAAAUUUUCACAAAUCAUAAACUCAGUUGUACAAAACUAUGCUUCCUUUAUUUCCUACCACUGAACUUAGUUUUUACCUCAAACCCCCAUCACCACCCGAUAGCAGAAAACUUCGGGUAAAUUUAGUUAAAUUAGUGAUUACUCAGUCACUUAAGUUAGUGGCUCAGUCAAUUCAAGAAAACAAGCCUACAAAUAUUGUCCUUUGCCCUUUCUCUUCCUGAAACAGGAAACUUUCAGAAGCUUCCCUCUCUGCCUACACUGUUUAACUCUUUCCUGCUGCCAGACCAUGCUGAUGUGGGACCGUGGUAUAUUCGAUAUUCUUCACCAACACCACAAUUCAAAGGCGUCAAUUCUUCUUCAGUCUUUUUAUUCAUUGUCCAGCUUUCACAUGCAUAUGAUGCGAUUGAAAAUACCACGGCUUGGGUCAGGCGCACCUUAGUCUUCAGGGUGACAUCUUUGCUCUUCAACACUUUGAAGACGCCCUUUGCAGCAGAUUUGCCCAGUGCAAUGUGUCUUUUGAUUUCUUGACUGCUGCUUCCAAGGCUGUGGAUUGUGGAUCCAAGUGAAACGAAAUCCUUGACAACUUCAAUCUUUUCUCUGUUUAUCAUGAUGUUGCUCAUUGGUCCAGUUGUGACGAUUUUUGAAGCACUUACUAAUGAAGAUCAAAGACCACAGCCUUCAGUAUGGAUUGCACCUGAACAUAAAGGAAACAAAAAGGUUCCUCUUAGAAGGUACUGAGGCAGACAGCCAUACGCAGUACCAGCACUUCUGGAGGGUAUUGUCCAGAGGUGGUAAUCGUCAUGCAAGCCAGCUAUCAGGAUUUAUUUCCCUAAACUCAAAGAAGGCAAAUGCAGUUGAACAGAUUGUGUUUCCAAUGGACACAGAAUCCCAGAUGUGAAACACUGACAAGAAGCUUGCAUAGGCACAAGGCCAAGUUCAUUUCAUUCUCAUUCAAUAUAAUGCACCCCUUCUAGAGAGUCACCGAUGGUGGAAAUAAGAAGAUUCACAGCUGUCGCUGCGACCUGCCAACUGUUCAUUUAUGCUCUGUUGUCCUUCCUGCAGAUAAAAUGUUUCUGUAAAAACAACAUAAUGGGUUUCUAAGUUUGGUUUGUUUAUAUUUAGGAACGAGUUGUAAUGUUAACAGAGCAUAAUCAGGACACAGCACUUAAUGUAGGAUGGUGGCUUAUCAAUCAUGUUUUGAUAUUAUCCAUCUGGUAACCAUUUUUUUCUUGGUAAGAUAUUUCCCCUAAAUAAGCGCAAUUAUCAUGCGUAAAGCAUGGGUCCUGGAUUCAGGUAGACUAGAUGUAACCCUGGCCACCUGUAUGAUCCCAGGCAGAUAAUUUAAGUACCUUGAACUUCUGUUUUUUCCCCUUUCACUAAAAGGGGAAUAAAAGCACCUAAUUUUCGGAGACGUAAAGAUAAAAUGAGAUAUAUGUACAUGUCCUUAUCGCAGUACCUAACAUACGCUGUUGCUAGUUGCCAUACAGUUGGCCAAAACUCACCGCGACCCCGUGUAGAACAGAACAACACAUUGCUCAGUCUCGCACCGUCUUCACUGUCAUUGGCAAGUCUGAGUCCAUUGUUUGUGGCCAUUGUGUAUUUCCAGUGUCUGCCAACCUAGGGGCUCAGGUUUAUCUCGCAGCACUAUAUCAGACAACGUUCUGUUGUGAUCCAUAAGGCUUUCACUAGCUGAUUUUCAGAAGUAGAUUACCAGGUCUUUCUUUCUAGUCUCUCUUGGUCUAGAAGCACUACUGAAACUUGUCCAGCUGGUAUUUGAGAUAUCAGUGGCAUAGUUUCCAGCACCAUAGCAACCUGCAAGCUACCACAGUAUGACAAACUGACAGACGGGCGAUGUAUCUAACAUAUAGUAGGCAUUGAACAAAUAUUAAUUUCUAUCCCCUGGUAAACUGUUUUGUGAUUAAAUACCAUAUUUCCUCAGGCCACCCUAGGCUGGAGGUAAAAAGAGGACCGCGAGAACACUGUAAAUGUCCCCACCAUGUUAUGCGGGGUCUUGCAAAUUCAAAGAAAAUCCUUCAAAGAAAUCCUCCCAGUCCUCAGGACUGUCUCACACAUGUUUAUGAGCACAGCUGUCUUGGCCCCCGCAUGGAGUUUGCUCUGUUCUUUUCUGCUUUAGCCGUGCAUGGCCAUUUGCUUCGGGGACUGACAGUCCCUGUGAAGUAGCUAUAAAAGUGUCAAGAGCCUCCUGGUGACCUUGGGGAGAUAUUGGGACAUACUCUCCUACCACUGCCAGCAGCCACUUCCUGUCGUUGCAGCUCCAGGUAUUGUGCAGUACCAUCACCACCCCCUUGCCAAAGUCACUAAUACUGCUUGCAUAGAGCACUAAGCUACUUCUGCCCUGAUGUGGAGAGAAUGUCUUUUUUGCCUUCAUAUUAAACUCUAUUCUUUUCAUUUAUAUUUUUAGCCCUUUUCUCCAUGAUUUCAUGGGGCCUGGGCCAGGGGAAAAUUUGACUAACUUGUAUCGAGCUGAAAAUAUGCCCUCCUUUCUAACACUGAAGCUUUA
This is a long non-coding RNA of Loxodonta africana (African savanna elephant), 3107 nucleotides long. RefSeq lists it as uncharacterized. Lineage: Eukaryota; Metazoa; Chordata; Mammalia; Proboscidea; Elephantidae. The transcript is spliced from 4 exons. The record is from RefSeq and is a predicted model, not a curated record.